UAUUUUACGGUCACACAAACCGUAUUACGCGCAAGGAUUAUUUAAUUAUGCGGAGGAAUUUCGCUUUACGCGAAACAAUCUAAAACUUGAAAUGGAACGUUUUAUUUCGCUAUUUUGUCAGUUGACGGAUUCCGAGUGUUAUGAGAACUGUAAUUUUCGGGAGUUCUUUCACAUCCCUGAUCGUAUUGUCUUGUCUUAUAUUGAUUUUUAUACCAUUGACCUUAGAAAAAGCUCAGCAAUUUUAUGCAAAUUUCAGAAGAUUAUUGUCUACGAUUCACUAUUCUUUUUAUAUCACGGUAUCCAUUCAUUUCCAUGCCCUGGGUUAUCAAAGAACAAUUGCCUUGUGUCAUGUCUGACGAGUUUUUGCUGUUUAUUUGGUUUGAAACGAAAAAUGUCAAUCAAUUGUUAUAAAGUAUCUACUGGUUUACCAUUUUACAGGAAAUGUUACGCACUUUAGCUAUUCAGUUGGUUCUUAAUGGCUUUUAUCGAAAAUGUAAAAAGACACAUUAACCUUUAUCAGGUUUUCAGGAGAAUUUUGGAUAUUUCAGUAAAAGACAUGCUUAGGUAUUGCUAAGAUCUUGUCGGCUCUGUUUAAGUACAAAUACUUGCACUUUAACCAUAUCCAAUAAGAUGUUAGUUAGUAUUCAUUACAAAUGCAAAACUUUGAUACACUAUACACGACAUAUUAAUUGUUAUAUAUAUAUGCAAAACAUGUUUUAUCCAGUACAUAUAUCUGUACGAAACCAUCAAUUAAGAUAAUGAAGAAGAUCCUGCUCAUAAAGAGCUCUUGCACUUUAUUUGGUUAGAACAGAACAGAGCAGAACAUAUUUUGGAUUUAAGUAUAGACUUAAUUCACAUGUGUCUGAUAAAAUGCAUGUAAUGCUUUACAUGUUAUUUUCGUUUGUAGAUUUCACAAAAAAAUAUUUGUUCCGGAAAUAUAUCUGGUGAGUUUACUUGAUAUUUUAUAAUGUAUUUAGUGAUAGUAUUUAUGUGAGGAAUUGCAUUUUUCGCGAAGCUCAAUAUGUUAAAGUAAUGUUUUUAUAUUAUAUGUUAAAAUAAUGAUAUAUGAUGUAUUGUGUAAAUAUAACUUUAAGUUAAUAUGUCUGAAUACGGUGCAUAUAUUUUAUAUAUCUUCCUUAUUUUUCUGCUAUCAAUAACAUUGUCACGUUCAUUAUAAUUUGUCAUACUUUUCAAGUCUCCUUUAUUAAGCAACCCACCAAAUGAUGUGUUUUUUGAGAAAAACAUGUAUAUUUGUUUAUGCCAAUAAAUACUUUAACUUGACUUUGUUAUUUACCAUAACCGGAUUCCUACAACCUGUUUCUGAUUUACCUCCCUUUGAUUAUAACGGAGAAAAUUUGUUGAUCCUUUCACCGGAUUUAAAUAUUGGAGUUUAACAACGUAUGUAUUUUUCAACUUCGUAAAUUUCAGGGUGAUGUUUUUUCUAUUUCAUCAGGGUUUUCUUGUUAAGCUUACUAUUCCGUGUUGAAUUCUUGAUGUGGAUUUUUCGGCACUCCAAUACAGAACAGGUUAUAUGGCACAAAACAGGACUAAAUUUUUGGUUUCACCUCUCUUUUACAUCGAACUAAAAGUAUGAGGUACGGAGUAACAUUUUUAUACCUGCUGGAAUCACACAGACACAGCAAUUUAUUUCAAACCCGUUGUUCCAAAACACCCCUACUGUAACCCAGUCUAUAUUCGUCACGUGAUUAAUGGUGGCGGCCACCCGUUUAUUGUGCUCCGUAGGUGAGCGAAACAAUAACAUGACUGCCAUGUUUUACACUCAAGAGGGCGAUAAAAGGUAAUAUAAUUCAUCACAACUGCGAUUUAAACAGAAGGAGCUGAUUGGCUGCGUUUGUUACGGCCUACAAGACAUACAACAGUCGUUUUGCUCCGUGUUUCUACUGUGAAUAACGAAUGACUUAAGCCACUUUUGAUAUGACAAUUUCGCCAAGAAUAUGGCAUAUUUAUAACACAGCCUGUUUAAUAAAAAGUACUCUUCUGGAGCAAAUAAAUAAAACUUGAUAAGUUGGUCCAAAUUAAUUAGGCAGAGGGCGUCAAGGCUUAGAUGGAGGAUAUAUAUAAACCUCAGUGCGUAUAGACUUUUAAUUACAGAACGUCUUUAUAUAUUAAAAUUGUACUUAAGAACAGAUUCACUGCCGUGCAUGAUGCAUGUUCGUGACACAAGAUGACAGUUUUGCUUGAAUUCAAACGAUAAGUUGGAAAAAUAACGUUUACGCCGUUGUCUAAAACGGAUCAUCUCACGUGCCGAGGAAAAGCUGCUCAAACUGAGCAAAGUAGCAAACAGUCAACUAUCUUUCUAUAUUCCUGUAUUAAGUUUCCUAAAUCUUUGGUUAAUAAAUGUUACCGAGGAGUCAAAAUCUUUAAGCAUUUUCCUCACCCUAAAUACAGUGAAAAUCCAUAUUGUCGUCAAUGAUUAGGCCAGUUAGGCUAAGUUGUUUUGUAUCCCUAUAUACUGUUUUGUGCAAAACACGCUGCAUUUUUAUUAACCCCUGCUUCUUUCUUAAAAAACUAAAGAACUCACAUUUCUUCUUUUAUUUUAGGGGAUAGGUAAAUGGCGACUUUCAGUCUCAUUGUAGAUUUAUUCAUUUGAUUUCAUAUUGAUUUGUUAGUGCAAUUCUUAGUAUUUUGUGAUGUUUCAAAGCAAAUUCUGACAAAAAUAAAGAUAGAAGCCAUUAAGUUGUCUUUUUAUUCGCUUUUGGUAUCACCGCUUGUAAAAAUAUAAAUAUUUGUUUCAUCGGCACAACAAAGUCCCCAUUAUUCCAUUAAGUCCCGUGUAUUAUACGCAGAUAUCAAUACAUUACUUUGAGAAUUUGAUAUCGCAAACAGAAAAUCGCUAAUGCUUUUCGUGUCUUUACCACGAUUUCGGUCAUUGAUUUCCCAAUAAUAACAUGCAAAUUGGAUUCAAAAUGCAAAUAAAUAGUUCUGUUGCACGCAGAUUCCUGUACUCUGAUGUCCAUUGAAUUUGUCAUGGAAUUAGGAAAGUACGCGACAGAAGUCAUAACAAAUACACGAAAUAAUACUUUAAACAUAUAUAUAUAUAUUGUCAACGCAUGAAGGACAUAUCCCUGCAACGCCCCUUAAUAUUAUGAAACAGCUGUUGAAAUAGUAAAUUGGUUUAGAUUAAAUUUGUUGUUAUUUUCAUCAUCAUUAUUGCGUUUGUUGUGAUUAUAACUGUUGCUACUUUUGUUUUAAGACACGUUUGCAGGUCUUGUUGACAGUUAUUACUGAUUAUAAUAAUCUCCAGGGUGAUAAUAAAUGCUAUAUAAUAAUAAGUAACAAACAAACUAACAGAAAACGUGGAAAUGCCAAAUGUAUUAAUGGUAUAUUUGGUAGGAAAAUGGCUGAGAAAUCCAAAUGUAAAAAUAGUAUAUGUGUAAGAAUAAUGGCCGGGAAAUUAUUUCAAAUGUUGAAAUGGUAUAUGUUAAAGAAUAAUGGUUGGGAAAUGCCAAAUGUAAAAAUGGUAUAUGUGAAAGAAUAUCG
Molecule: long non-coding RNA, 3501 nt
Organism: Mercenaria mercenaria
Lineage: Eukaryota; Metazoa; Mollusca; Bivalvia; Venerida; Veneridae
Exons: 3
Source: RefSeq, a predicted model, not a curated record